Molecule: ribosomal RNA, 255 nt
Filed under: uncultured bacterium
Lineage: Bacteria
Description: partial 16S ribosomal RNA
Rfam family: Bacterial small subunit ribosomal RNA
Source: RNAcentral
UACGAAGGGGGCUAGCGUUGCUCGGAAUUACUGGGCGUAAAGGGCGCGUAGGCGGGUCGUUUAGUUAGAGGUGAAAGCCCAGGGCUCACCCUGGAAUUGCCUUUAAUACUGGCGGCCUUGAGUAUGGCAGAGGGUGUGUGGAACUCCGAGUGUAGAGGUGAAAUUCGUAGAUAUUCGCAAGAACACCAGUGGCGAAGGCGGCCUCACUGGCCCGAUACUGACGCUGAGGCACGAAAGCGUGGGGGAGCAAACAGG